GACCAGAGAGCAGAGCAGGGGAACAGCACCAGAGAGAGAUGAAAAAGCAACCAGAUAUAAUACUCAAGAAAGAGCCUCCAUGACCUACGUGGACACAUCCAGGAAUGUGCUGUACUAAUCUAUUUCUGGAUCAGAAAUGCAGAGAGGAAGGGAAGCAGGAAGGAAUAGAAGAGACACCAAACAGAUUCAUCAGGGGGUGCCAGAUGUUCCUACGGCUUAUUCCGUCCUACCUGGCUUCCCAGUUGUGGACCCAGAGCCUGAGAGUGAUCCCCAUGCCCACCACCAGACAUAUGUUGGUGAGCUCUGGGGACAGUGACCACACAGAGGUGUCAGCUUCCCUCGACUUCUAUGUGAGAUUCCCUUCUGUGUCCUACUGUCCCAUCUGGGCAGAUGUAGCAACUUAGUCUACUCGGCUGCUGUGACAAAAUACCAUAGACUGUAUCUAUUAAAAAACG
RNAcentral lists this long non-coding RNA (455 nucleotides) under Heterocephalus glaber (naked mole-rat). RNAcentral's name for it is "lncRNA (ENSHGLG00100031839.2)". Lineage: Eukaryota; Metazoa; Chordata; Mammalia; Rodentia; Bathyergidae. The record is from RNAcentral.